Piliocolobus tephrosceles (Ugandan red Colobus) is the source of this 754-nucleotide long non-coding RNA. RefSeq lists it as uncharacterized. The transcript is spliced from 3 exons. NCBI's taxonomy places the organism in Eukaryota, Metazoa, Chordata, Mammalia, Primates, Cercopithecidae. The record is from RefSeq and is a predicted model, not a curated record.
GCAACCCAGUGAUUCCAUGGAAAGCAGAAAGAGGGAUAUAAAGAAACUGGAUGCUUGAUGACAUCUUUGACUCACUGGAUCAAACCUUGCCUGAAGCUCACAUUUCUGAAGUUUCCAGGUGCAAGAACAAAUAAUUUCUCUUUAUUGCUUUACUAGAUCUGAGACUAGCUUUAAGUUUCUCGGACUCUUCCUCUUCCUAACAGAUUUAUCAGAAGCUGAAAGCUCUGAUCUUGUUGGGAUGCAGAUCUUGUCAGGAGAAGGCUUACUUUGCACCAUUUUCUUAGUCUGGUUGCCUAACUCAAGAACCUCGGCACUGCUCUGUUACUUCUCUACUCAGACGAGCAUCCCUGCAGACACUCACUAGGCUAACUCUGUCUUUAUUUUUAGAAUUAGACCUUUACGAGAAGCGCAGUUUUGUCUUCAGUUUCCUCUCCCCCCCACCCGGAAUGGCCUGAGCCGAGGCCAGCUCCCUCCGAGAAGUCAUUACCGCCUGUCUUGCAUGUGAUGUUUAGACAUCUUGGUCAUGACAUCUUGUGUUCUCUCAGGAUGCUGAUUUCUAACUGCUCUUCGGCCUUUCCUGCAUUGGUCCUCCUCAGCCAGGGGAUCCCUGCUCUUCUGUAUUAAUGUUGGCUCCUUGUCCCCUGUCCACCAUGAGUCAAAGCAAUGUGAGCCCCUCACCAGAUACAACUGCCCAAUCUUGGACUUUCCAGCAACCAGAAUCAUAAGCCAAAUAAACCUCUUUUCUUUAUGAAUU